Molecule: long non-coding RNA, 416 nt
Organism: Labeo rohita (rohu)
Lineage: Eukaryota; Metazoa; Chordata; Actinopteri; Cypriniformes; Cyprinidae
Exons: 3
Source: RefSeq, a predicted model, not a curated record
CCUCGGUGAACGAUUCCAAGCAUUUAUUUCAACUGACUUUUCUGUUUUGACCUCGUCCUGUUUCUUGUGUUCGACUCAUCGCUGCCUGCCCCUGGACCAUUGCUCUGAUUCUGGGUCAUUGAUGGUAAAAAAAAACUUAAGAUAACCCCAGCGGACUGAAUGAAUUUACUUUCUACUUGCUGACAGGAUAAAAGAUCUCCAUAUCCACUGAAGACAACUGACAGGAAGUGGACAGGACGUGAAGUGGGAGAGAGAGAGGGUGAUGGGAUCAGGAAAGGUCCUUGAGCCAGAACUUGAAGUCAGGACAACUGGAGCACAAUGGCAAUGAUAAUGUGAGCGCGCUGUCUGAAGGCUUUUUGGUUGCAAACGUGAUUUCCCAUUUUAAUACUAACAGCACUGUUCUUUUAACCUAAUUA